GACGAACGCUGGCGGCGUGCUUAACACAUGCAAGUCGAACGGAAAGGCCCUGCUUUUGUGGGGUGCUCGAGUGGCGAACGGGUGAGUAACACGUGAGUAACCUGCCCUUGACUUUGGGAUAACUUCAGGAAACUGGGGCUAUUACCGGAUAGGAGCUCCUGCUGCAUGUUGGGGGUUGGAAAGUUUCGGCGGUUGGGGAUGGACUGGCGGCUUAUCAGCUUGUUGGGGGGGUAGUGGCUUACCAAGGCUUUGACGGGUAGCCGGCCUGAGAGGGUGACCGGGCACAUUGGGACUGAGAUACGGCCCAGACUCCUACGGGAGGCAGCAGUGGAGAAUAUUGCACAAUGGGCGGAAGUCUGAGGCAGCAACGCCGCGUGCGGGAUGACGGCCUUCGGGUUGUAAACCGCUUUCGCCUGUGACGAAGCGUGAGUGACGGUAAUGGGUAAAGAAGCACCGGCUAACUACGUG
Molecule: ribosomal RNA, 468 nt
Filed under: uncultured bacterium
Lineage: Bacteria
Description: partial 16S ribosomal RNA
Rfam family: Bacterial small subunit ribosomal RNA
Source: RNAcentral